RNAcentral lists this long non-coding RNA (1131 nucleotides) under Homo sapiens (human). RNAcentral's name for it is "HSALNT0229182". Lineage: Eukaryota; Metazoa; Chordata; Mammalia; Primates; Hominidae. The record is from RNAcentral.
UUGGAAGAUGACUCCAGCAGCCCCCAGACCUAUCUCCCUUAUCUUGAAAUCUCCUUAGUAAAGCGAGGCUUUCCAAAAUACCCCAGCAAAAGCCUCUCUGCAUCUUAUUAACUGUAGGUCAAUGGGACUUUAACCAAAUCAUAUGAACUGACAAAAGGGAAGGAGAGGAUCCCCAAACAUCUGGAAGAAGAAUGAAUGUGUGAUGUGUGUUUGGACGCUGGCAUUCUUUCAUUUUGAUGACUUGAAUCAACAGGAAGUCUGAAAGGAAAUAAAGGGGCAAACCAGCUCAUUAAAAUUCCAGAAGUCCUAAGUCCCUCAUUAUACGGCCUUGUCUGGUUUUCCACUUUCCCCUUCUCCCGCUGCUGCCUGGACCACAUACAGCAGGUGCUCAAUAAAUGCCUGUUGAAGAAAGGAGAGCUCCCCUCCGGAGCUCAGCACUCCCGCCGCUGCCCCACCUUGCUGGCCCCUUGGGGGCGCUGCUGCCUCUCAAACACUUGGCGCAGAUCUGAGCCGGCUCUCUCUGUUCCUGGGUUUUCUUGAGCAGAGCUGAGAGGCUGACAUUUCCACAAAGAGCAUCGCUGAAAAUGUGUGAGAAGCUGGGGAAAUAAACAAGGAAAAUACAUGACUCUAUAAAAUAUCCAUGUUUCCAUAUGAACUCCAGAACUCUAGUCAAGGUGGCCGAGAGAUUUGCCAGACUCAACUUUUUCUGGCUUCUGGCCACUCCUAGCUCUGUCUGCAUCUCCCCUCUCCAGCUCCACGUGGCCAGGGCUACCUGUUUUCCGUGUUGAAGGAGCUCUCUGCUGGGCACUUUCCCUACCUCCUAAGAUUGUACGAGAAAAAUCUUCCUCUUUCAUGAAUUCAAAGGCUUUGAAUUUGCCAGUCACAUGUCUGGCAGCUGGUGUCAGCUGUUGGCUGAGGCAUCUUGGUUCUGCAUGUGGCCUCUCACGUGGUUUACUGUAGACCAGCUCCCUCAUCAGUGGUCUCAGAGAGGAAGCCUCAGUGCACAAGUACUCAUUACACUUCUGCUGGCACCAGGUUUGUACAUGUACCAUUGGCCAAAGCAAGUCACAAAGCCAAGCCCAGAGUCAAUGAGGAGAGGCACACACAGAGUAAUGGAUGCAUGAUGCGCUG